GCCAAGUUCUCCACCUUUGCAAAUAAGAUAAGAGCACAACUGCAAGAACUCUCCCAGCACUGCGGUAAUGUUUAACCAGAUAAUUAUUCUCUUAGCAGCAGGAAAAGUAAAUGGGCACAAUUUUUUUCAGCCCUGUCAUUUCAAUACUUCAUAUUCAUGUGACAGGACAACAAAAUGGAAGAGACAUUGGAGAAAGAGAUCGCGCCAUUUGAAGUAAAAGAUUCUAAUGAAGGUGGAAUUCGGCUGCGAUUGAGAGACAGAGACCUGUUGAAGAAACGAAAGGCUGAGGCAGAGGAAAAGGCAACCAACCAGUGGGUUUAUGGGUAAAGCUAGUGUUGAAUUAGGCCAAUAAAAGCACUGGAAAAGGCCUAGAGCACUUAUUUAUUUUUCAGUUUAUAUGAUAUUGUGAUAUUAUGACGCAAAUGCACAAAUAAUGUAUCUUAAUAUUGAACACAGGGCACAAAGCCUUAAAAGAGUGAAAAAGAAGACCAGUGGUACCCCAGGAAGGAAAGGUCGACCAAGAAAAGAACCGCCUGUAGUUAUUCCAGAAGAUCUCGGUCUGGCUCAGGAAACAGAUCCUUCUCCUGACACACUUCCUAUCACAGAACCUGUAUUACCCACAAUAGCAGAGACACUGCCUUUAUUACCAGCUGAGCCACAACCAGAGCCGGCGCCGGCGCAAGUGGAAACAAUGAGUGAAAAACCUCUGGAGGAGUUUCUGAUUGAGGAUCUGGGGCCUGAUGAGGAGGAAGACAUGCCUCAAAAAAGCUUUAUCAUUGAUACAGGUGAUGACGAGCUGCCAUGUGCUGACCUGAACAGUCAAGUCUCAAUGGCAGUGUAUCCUCCAGCAUCUGCUCCUUCUCAACCUGAGAGUCUAUCUGAGAAUUUAAUCAUCUGAGUGUCACCCUUCUACAGAAAAAUGAAUUUAAUCUAAUUUACUAUUUCAAAGGAUUUCUAAACUGAAACAAGGACAAAUCUAUAUUUAUUAAAAUUCUUCAUGUCUCCAUGUAUAUAUACCACUUAUCAGUACUCUGUCAAACAAAAUCCAUUCUAUACAUAUUAUAAAAUAUAUAAUAAAAUAAAAACCGGAAAUUGUUACAGUAUAGUACUUUUGUGUUCUAUGAUUUUAAAGCAACUAGAUCUUUGCCUUAAGCCUAUAUUACGAAUAAUCUUUGUUUAGUUUGUACAACGGACUAUUUUAAAAUAAAGUGGUUUUAUACUUUGUCUUUGUCUAGUCAUUUCGUCACUGAAUUCUAAAACCAUCACGCUCCUAUGGGAAUCAAUUUUAGUAUGCUAAAGGUGCACCACUGACAGCUAACGGUUGAAAUGGGUACUGCAGUCCAAAUUCAAAAUACAGGAGAGUUGUUUUUCCUCCUCAGACUCGACGCUCACGCGGGUUGCUAGAUUGAGGACAGGAACCAGUGCAAAUAUCAAAGGAAGGAAACAAGCCUUACACGCUGCGGUGCUGGGUAGAUUACUUACAAUUACAAAUUGUAGUCCGUUACUGAUUACAUGAUGAAAACUGCAGUUAGUAACGGAAUCUAGGUUACUAAUUUUAGGUAAAGUAUUCCGACUACUUCUUAGAUUACUUUUAGA
Molecule: long non-coding RNA, 1596 nt
Organism: Sinocyclocheilus anshuiensis
Lineage: Eukaryota; Metazoa; Chordata; Actinopteri; Cypriniformes; Cyprinidae
Product: hemogen
Source: Ensembl